Molecule: transfer RNA, 66 nt
Filed under: Henosepilachna pusillanima
Lineage: Eukaryota; Metazoa; Arthropoda; Insecta; Coleoptera; Coccinellidae
Description: tRNA-Asn
Source: RNAcentral
UUAAUUGAAACCAAAUCAGAGGUAAAUCACUGUUAAUGAUUAAAUUGAAUUAAUUUUCCAAUUAAA